RNAcentral lists this ribosomal RNA (377 nucleotides) under uncultured eukaryote. Its description in RNAcentral is "partial 18S ribosomal RNA". It matches the Rfam family "Eukaryotic small subunit ribosomal RNA", at positions 592 to 976 of the family's 1831-position model. The record is from RNAcentral.
CAAUAGCGUAUAUUUAAGUUGCUGCAGUUAAAAAGCUCGUAGUUGGAUUUCGGGUGGGAAUGGCCGGUCCGCCGUUUCGGUGUGCACUUGCUACGCCCACCUUGCUGCCGGGGACGUGCUCUUGAGUUCACGCUCGGGACACGGAGUCGGCGAGGUUACUUUGAGUAAAUUAGAGUGUUCAAAGCAGGCCUACGCUCUGAAUACAUUAGCAUGGAAUAACACGAUAGGACUCUGGCCUAUCUUGUUGGUCUGUAGGACCGGAGUAAUGAUUAAGAGGGACAGUCGGGGGCAUUCGUAUUUCAUUGUCAGAGGUGAAAUUCUUGGAUUUAUGAAAGACGAACUACUGCGAAAGCAUUCACCAAGGAUGUCUUCUUUAA